GGGUAGAGUAAUGCGUGACCAACCUGCCCCAUGCUCCAGAAUAGCUCUUGGAAACGGGUGGUAAUGCUGGAUGCUCCAACUUGACGCAUGUCUUGUUGGGAAAGUGUUUAGUGGCAUGGGAUGGGGUCGCGUCCUAUCAGCUUGUAGGCGGGGUAAUGGCCCACCUAGGCUUCGACGGGUAGCCGGCCUGAGAGGGCGGACGGCCACAUUGGGACUGAGAUACGGCCCAGACUCCUACGGGAGGCAGCAGUC
This 252-nucleotide ribosomal RNA is filed under the name uncultured Gardnerella sp. RNAcentral's name for it is "partial 16S ribosomal RNA". It matches the Rfam family "Bacterial small subunit ribosomal RNA", at positions 100 to 355 of the family's 1533-position model. Lineage: Bacteria; Bacillati; Actinomycetota; Actinomycetes; Bifidobacteriales; Bifidobacteriaceae. The record is from RNAcentral.